RNAcentral lists this long non-coding RNA (454 nucleotides) under Nicotiana benthamiana. RNAcentral describes it as "long non-coding RNA (NBEN_LNC039222)". Lineage: Eukaryota; Viridiplantae; Streptophyta; Magnoliopsida; Solanales; Solanaceae. The record is from RNAcentral.
ACCGAGAAAUAAGAAAAUGAGAGCUCCAGAUUCCGCGGAGAGAGAGAGAUCUGAAGAGUCGAUGAGAGGAGUACUUUGUGGAGAGAGAUUAGUACUUUUAAGGAGCAGAGAACAUCGAGAAGAUCGUCGCCUGCCUGGGUUUAUUCAACAACGAAAAAAAUCAGUGUUUAGAUAUAUAGAUAAAAGCUAUGCAGAAGCAGCAACUUAUGAGUGAGUUUGAUUUCUGAGUUUUCGAUACUUCUUAUGCGGAUGAAAAAUAAUAAGAAAUGAAAAAGGGCAAAAUGUAAUUAAAAUAAAAAUAAUAAUUAAAGAAAAAACCUACCUGUGUGCUUGUUAUUUGCUAAUAAGAGGAGCCAGCUUUUCUCGGUUCGGCCGUUAAAUGUGUUGAACUGAAAGCUGGAGUCACUUCUUGACCUUUGGAUUUGGAUUUUUCUGCACCUGCACCAUAUCCAUU